Molecule: ribosomal RNA, 163 nt
Filed under: uncultured bacterium
Lineage: Bacteria
Description: partial 16S ribosomal RNA
Rfam family: Bacterial small subunit ribosomal RNA
Source: RNAcentral
AGUAAUGGCAGGUCAGCAUACUGCCGUGAAUACGUUCCCGGGCCUUGUACACACCGCCCGUCACACCAUGAGAGUUGGGAAUACCCGAAGCCUGUGAGCUAACUUUUAGAGGCAGCAGUCGAAGGUAGAAUCAAUGAUUGGGGUGAAGUCGUAACAAGGUACC